Molecule: long non-coding RNA, 859 nt
Organism: Rhopalosiphum maidis (corn leaf aphid)
Lineage: Eukaryota; Metazoa; Arthropoda; Insecta; Hemiptera; Aphididae
Exons: 3
Source: RefSeq, a predicted model, not a curated record
UAAAAAAAUACAAUAAUUACAUAGUUUUUCUUUAAAGCCGACAUAAAUAUGCAUAUUUAUUCUAAUAGUUAAACAUAGGUCUAAAAUAUAGAUAAUAGGAAGUUUCUCAGAUACAAACGAGUUCAGUGUUACACCAAUUAAUCGGUUAGGUACCUAUAUGGUUGAGACGAUAAAUCCCGAUUAUAAACUGUAAGUGAUCACGACUAGAGUUUCGAUUGAUUUUGUAUAUUCGGCAAUCGAACGGAAUUUAUUGGCCAGUAUAUAAAAUUCAGUUGGCAGUUAAUGACAAAGGAUUUAGUAAUUUUAAUAAAACAUGGCACCAUAAAUUUCUUCUAACUGGAGACUUGUCUGCAGAUGCUAGUGUGCUACUGAAGUUGAUGUGCCUCGAGAAACUAUUAACUUUAAUAUGGAUCAUACGUACCUAAUGAUUCAGAACCUAAAGAAGAAGAAAAAAGAAAAAAGAAAGAAAAGCAUUGGAAAAAUAUCAUAACGCCAUUUAAAAGAAAUCAUUGACCUCAAACAAAAUAAGUAUAAACAAUUAAACAGUUACAUCAAAAUAAUCCGUUUGAUAUAUCCAAAAAUAUUUCUAAAUUAAAUAAUAUUAAUUCAACUUUAUAUAUCAAAGACAGUUUAAUUAAAAAACGGCUCCUAUAAAGGAAAGGGUAUGGUAGUAUACUGUUCUUUGGACAUUGUCUACACUCUCAAAACUAAUGAGUCAUUAUGGAACAGAAUUAAUGAAGUAUAUUUUAAAGGAGAUAGUCCAUUAUAAUUAUAACCAAUAAAUAUUACUGAUAAAAUACUUUAAAAAAAUAUAUACGUUUAACUGGAACUUCCAGAGAACAAAUUUCAACUGAUUUAU